Molecule: small RNA, 28 nt
Filed under: Bombyx mori (domestic silkworm)
Lineage: Eukaryota; Metazoa; Arthropoda; Insecta; Lepidoptera; Bombycidae
Description: ovarian small RNA-17616
Source: RNAcentral
GUAAUCUUGAAAGGGUUAGAUCCAUGAC